Long non-coding RNA from Oncorhynchus keta (chum salmon), 613 nucleotides. RefSeq lists it as uncharacterized. The transcript is spliced from 3 exons. Lineage: Eukaryota; Metazoa; Chordata; Actinopteri; Salmoniformes; Salmonidae. The record is from RefSeq and is a predicted model, not a curated record.
GUGUGGUGUGUGUGUGUGUGUGUGUGUGUGUGUGAGAGAGAGCGUUUGUGAUUCUCAGAGAGGUGUGUGUGUGUGUGAUAGAGAGCGUUUGUGUGUCACAGAGAGGUGUGUGUGUGUGUGUGUGUGUGUGAUAGAGAGCGUUUGUGUUUCACAGAGAGGUGUGUGUGUGUGUGUGUGUGAUAGAGAGCGUUUGUGUUUCACAGAGAGGUGUGUGUGAGAGAGAGUUUGUGUUUCACAGAGAGGUGUGUGUGAGAAAGAGUUUGUGUUUCACAGAGAGGUGUGUGUGAGAAAGAGUUUGUGUUUCACAGAGAGGUGUGUGUGAGAAAGAGUUUGUGUUUCACAGAGAGGUGUGUGUGAGGCUGUCCCUCCUAUCCUCAUCUCAGUCAGUCUCAUACUUCUCUGAGAGCGAGAGAGACAGAGUGUGUGUGUGUGUGUUUGUGAGAGGACAUCACACCAGUUAUGUUGUGUUGUCUCUCUUGUCGUGAUGUGUGUUUUGUCCUGUAUUUUUAUGUUAUUUAUUUAUUAUCUCAGGCCCCCGUCCCCGCAGGAGGCCUUUUGCCUUUUGGUAGGCCGUCAUUGUAAUUAAGAAUUUAUUCUUAACUGACUUACCUAG